UGGGAGAAUCUGUAAAGCUCAGGAGGGAUAGCGCCUAAGCUAUUUCUUUCUUUCUUUCUUUCUUUCUUUUUUGCAGAAAUAUCAUCUGCGGCGCUAUCUAUCCUGAGUUUCAUGGGUUCUUCCU
This 124-nucleotide microRNA precursor is filed under the name Gossypium hirsutum (cotton). Its description in RNAcentral is "MIR390 microRNA precursor family". It matches the Rfam family "MIR390 microRNA precursor family". Lineage: Eukaryota; Viridiplantae; Streptophyta; Magnoliopsida; Malvales; Malvaceae. RNAcentral also lists the same sequence under 1 other name. The record is from Rfam by way of RNAcentral.